GGCUUAGAGUUUGAUCAUGGCUCAGGAUGAACGCUGGCGGCGUGCUUAACACAUGCAAGUCGAACGGAGUGCUCAUGACGGAGGAUUCGUCCAACGGAUUGAGUUACUUAGUGGCGGACGGGUGAGUAACGCGUGAGGAACCUGCCUCGGAGUGGGGAAUAACAGACCGAAAGGCCUGCUAAUACCGCAUGAUACAGUUGGGUCGCAUGACUCUGACUGUCAAAGAUUUAUCGCUCUGAGAUGGCCUCGCGUCUGAUUAGCUAGUUGGCGGGGUAACGGCCCACCAAGGCGACGAUCAGUAGCCGGACUGAGAGGUUGACCGGCCACAUUGGGACUGAGACACGGCCCAGACUCCUACGGGAGGCAGCAGUGGGGAAUAUUGGGCAAUGGGCGCAAGCCUGACCCAGCAACGCCGCGUGAAGGAAGAAGGCUUUCGGGUUGUAAACUUCUUUUCUUAGGGACGAAUGAAGUGACGGUACCUAAGGAAUAAGCCACGGCUAACUACGUGCCAGCAGCCGCGGUAAUACGUAGGUGGCAAGCGUUACCCGGAUUUACUGGGUGUAAAGGGCGUGUAGGCGGGAUUGCAAGUCAGAUGUGAAAACUAGAGGCUCAACCUCUAGCCUGCAUUUGAAACUGUAGUUCUUGAGUACUGGAGAGGCAGACG
RNAcentral lists this ribosomal RNA (664 nucleotides) under uncultured organism. RNAcentral describes it as "bacterial SSU rRNA". It matches the Rfam family "Bacterial small subunit ribosomal RNA", at positions 1 to 663 of the family's 1533-position model. The record is from RNAcentral.